GAUGAACGCUAGCGAUAGGCUUAACACAUGCAAGUCGAGGGGCAGCAUGGUCUUAGCUUGCUAAGACUGAUGGCCACCGGCGCACGGGUGCGUAACGCGUAUGCAACUUGCCUCACGGAUGGGUAUAACCCGUCGAAAGACGGACUAAUACCGCGUACACGCCAUCUUGGGCAUCCUAGGUAGAGUAAAUGAAAUUCGCUGUGAGAUAGGCAUGCGUCCCAUUAGCUAGUUGGUGAGGUAACGGCUCACCAAGGCGACGAUCGGUAGGGGAACUGAGAGGGUGCACCCCGACAGGGGUACCGGGACAAGGACCAGUGUGCUACGGGACGCAGCAGUGAGGAAUAUUGGACAAUGGAAGAGAGCCUGAAGCAGCCAAGCCGCGUGCAGGAAGACUGUGUUAUGGAUUGUAAACUUCUGUUAUAAGGCAACAACAAGAGUCACGUGUGACUCCGUGAAUGUACCGUAUGAAUAAGCAUCGGCUAACUACGUG
RNAcentral lists this ribosomal RNA (490 nucleotides) under uncultured bacterium. RNAcentral's name for it is "partial 16S ribosomal RNA". It matches the Rfam family "Bacterial small subunit ribosomal RNA", at positions 28 to 507 of the family's 1533-position model. The record is from RNAcentral.